RNAcentral lists this long non-coding RNA (513 nucleotides) under Corvus moneduloides (New Caledonian crow). RNAcentral describes it as "lncRNA (ENSCMUG00000017000.1)". Lineage: Eukaryota; Metazoa; Chordata; Aves; Passeriformes; Corvidae. The record is from RNAcentral.
AUGGCAGCAAAGCUGGCUCUGCAGAUCGUUCUCAAGCAGAUGACAGUUCUGAGGGAAACCAGCCUGAUACUGAGCUCUCCGAGCUGGACAAGACUGCUGCUGAUAGAGAGGCAGGAAAUCCUCUGGCACAGCUGCAGAGCUAUCGCCCGUACUUCCGAGAGCUGGACCUCGAGGUGUUCACCGUGCUGCACUGUGGGCUGCUCACAAAGUCUGUCCUGGACACAGAGAUGCACACAGAGGCUUGUGAAGUUGUGCAGCUGGGGCCUGCUGAGCUUUGCUUCCUUCUGGAUGACCUGUGCUGGAAGCUGGAACAUGUGCUGCCCUCGGGCUCCACAAGGAGGGUGCCCUUUCCAAAGGCAAGAACAGCAGCACAUCAGGGGCCUCCAGGGCUUUCCCGAGAAAUGUUUUUCAGAAUUAUUUUCAUUUGGUAGUUGAAUGGAAGUGUGACACCCAGCUCUGUGCUAGAGCAGCCCUUGCUCUUUCAAAAGAGACUUGUGUACACUGCUUUUGCUG